AUCGAUCCUCGGUAGUGGCACUCAGGGCCGUCGCGUCCUGCAUGCCUCGAUCGAAGAUCGAU
Regulatory RNA element from Pimelobacter simplex, 62 nucleotides. It matches the Rfam family "Actino-pnp RNA". NCBI's taxonomy places the organism in Bacteria, Bacillati, Actinomycetota, Actinomycetes, Propionibacteriales, Nocardioidaceae. The record is from Rfam.